This 261-nucleotide long non-coding RNA is filed under the name Mytilus galloprovincialis (Mediterranean mussel). The record is from RNAcentral. Lineage: Eukaryota; Metazoa; Mollusca; Bivalvia; Mytilida; Mytilidae.
GAUUGAUGCUCCCGUGUGAUAGUUUUGGCUAAACAAUUGUUUAGAAUAUAAGGAAGGAUUGUAGGAUUGAUUUUUCGGAUCAUUUUGAAAAAUGAGAUUACAGUUCAAUGAAAUAUGUCACUUAUGAAUGUUUUUUACUGACGUUAUCGUACCAAAUUGGAUAACCCGAAUAUUAUCCUACAUGCAUUAUAUGAUCAAACGCCAAUCGACUGAAGAAAAUCAAUGGAAGCCUGAGGAAAUGGAAGAUUUUAUAGCCAAAAG